GAAUUCGCCCUUAGAGUUUUAUCCUGGCUCAGGACGAACGCUGGCGGCGUGCUUAACACAUGCAAGUCGAGCGGGGAUGUUCGGAGUGCUUGCACACUGAACAUUUCAGCGGCGGACGGGUGAGUAACGCGUGAACAAUCUGUCCCAUACAGGGGGAUAACAGAUGGAAACAUCUGCUAAUACCGCAUAAGACCACGAAGCCACAUGGCUAUGGGGUAAAAGGAGCAAUCCGGUAUGGGGUGAGUUCGCGUCCGAUUAGCUGGUUGGUGAGGUAACGGCCCACCAAGGCGACGAUCGGUAGCCGACCUGAGAGGGUGAUCGGCCACACUGGAACUGAGAGACGGUCCAGACUCCUACGGGAGGCAGCAGUGGGGAAUAUUGCACAAUGGAGGGAACUCUGAUGCAGCGAUGCCGCGUGGAGGAAGAAGGUUUUCGGAUUGUAAACUCCUUUUAUCAGGGACGAUAAUGACGGUACCUGAAGAAAAAGCUCCGGCUAACUACGUGCCAGCAGCCGCGGUAAUACGUAGGGAGCGAGCGUUGUCCGGAAUUACUGGGUGUAAAGGGAGCGUAGGCGGGAUAGCAAGUCAGAUGUGAAAACUAUGGGCUCAACCUGUAGAUUGCAUUUGAAACUGUUAUUCUUGAGUGGAGUAGAGGCAAGCGGAAUUCCGAGUGUAGCGGUGAAAUGCGUAGAUAUUAGGAGGAACAUCGGUGGCGAAGGCGGCUUACUGGGCUUUUACUGACGCUGAGGCUCGAAAGUGUGGGUAGCAAACAGGAUUAGAUACCCUGGUAGUCCACACCGUAAACGAUGA
RNAcentral lists this ribosomal RNA (809 nucleotides) under uncultured bacterium. RNAcentral describes it as "bacterial SSU rRNA". It matches the Rfam family "Bacterial small subunit ribosomal RNA", at positions 1 to 812 of the family's 1533-position model. The record is from RNAcentral.